RNAcentral lists this ribosomal RNA (436 nucleotides) under uncultured bacterium. RNAcentral's name for it is "bacterial SSU rRNA". It matches the Rfam family "Bacterial small subunit ribosomal RNA", at positions 958 to 1392 of the family's 1533-position model. The record is from RNAcentral.
AACGCGAAGAACCUUACCUGGCCUUGACAUGUCCGGAAUCCUGCAGAGAUGCGGGAGUGCCUUCGGGAAUCGGAACACAGGUGCUGCAUGGCUGUCGUCAGCUCGUGUCGUGAGAUGUUGGGUUAAGUCCCGCAACGAGCGCAACCCUUGUCCUUAGUUGCCAGCACGUAAUGGUGGGAACUCUAAGGAGACUGCCGGUGACAAACCGGAGGAAGGUGGGGAUGACGUCAAGUCCUCAUGGCCCUUACGGCCAGGGCUACACACGUACUACAAUGGUCGGUACAGAGGGUUGCAAAGCCGCGAGGUGGAGCCAAUCCCAGAAAGCCGAUCCCAGUCCGGAUCGAAGUCUGCAACUCGACUUCGUGAAGUCGGAAUCGCUAGUAAUCGCGGAUCAGCUAUGCCGCGGUGAAUACGUUCCCGGGUCUUGUACACACCG